This 253-nucleotide ribosomal RNA is filed under the name uncultured bacterium. Its description in RNAcentral is "partial 16S ribosomal RNA". It matches the Rfam family "Bacterial small subunit ribosomal RNA", at positions 524 to 776 of the family's 1533-position model. The record is from RNAcentral.
GACAGAGGAGGCAAGCGUUUUUCGGAAUUAUUGGGCUUAAAGCGCGUGUCGGCGGCCGCGUAAGUGCUUUGUGAAAGUCCACGGCUCAACCGUGGAAUUGCAGGGCAUACUGCGCGGCUUGGGGUCGGUAGAGGUGGCCGGAACUCUAGGUGGAGCGGUGAAAUGCGUAGAUAUCUAGAGGAACGCCGGAGGCGAAAGAGGGCCACUGGGCCGAUUCUGACGCUGAGACGCGAAGGCGUGGGGAGCAAACAGG